RNAcentral lists this unclassified non-coding RNA (155 nucleotides) under Alternaria juxtiseptata. Its description in RNAcentral is "partial internal transcribed spacer 2". Lineage: Eukaryota; Fungi; Ascomycota; Dothideomycetes; Pleosporales; Pleosporaceae. The record is from RNAcentral.
GCACCCUCAAGCUUUGCUUGGUGUUGGGCGUCUUGUCCCCAGUUCGCUGGAGACUCGCCUUAAAGUCAUUGGCAGCCGGCCUACUGGUUUCGGAGCGCAGCACAAGUCGCGCUCUCUGCCAGCCAAGGUCCGCGUCCACCAAGCCUUUUUUCAAC